RNAcentral lists this ribosomal RNA (491 nucleotides) under uncultured bacterium. RNAcentral's name for it is "partial 16S ribosomal RNA". It matches the Rfam family "Bacterial small subunit ribosomal RNA", at positions 29 to 506 of the family's 1533-position model. The record is from RNAcentral.
AGUGAACGCUGGCGGUAGGCCUAACACAUGCAAGUCGAACGGCAGCACAGUAAGAGCUUGCUCUUACGGGUGGCGAGUGGCGGACGGGUGAGGAAUACAUCGGAAUCUACUUUUUCGUGGGGGAUAACGUAGGGACACUUACGCUAAUACCGCAUACGACCUACGGGUGAAAGCAGGGGAUCUUCGGACCUUGCGCGAUUGAAUGAGCCGAUGUCGGCGUGGCUAGUUGGCGGGGUAACGGCCCACCAAGGCGACGAUCCGUAGCUGGGCUGAGAGGAUGAUCAGCCACACUGGAACUGAGACACGGUCCAGACUCCUACGGGAGGCAGCAGUGGGGAAGAUUGGACAAUGGGCGCAAGCCUGAUCCAGCCAUACCGCGUGGGUGAAGAAGGCCUUCGGGUUGUAAAGCCCUUUUGUUGGGAAAGAAAAGCAGCAGGUUAAUACCCCGCUGUUCUGACGGUACCCAAAGAAUAAGCACCGGCGAACUUCGU